ACACAUGCAAGUCGAGCGGAUGAGAGGAGCUUGCUCCUUGAUUUAGCGGCGGACGGGUGAGUAAUGCCUAGGAAUCUGCCUGGUAGUGGGGGAUAACGUUCCGAAAGGAACGCUAAUACCGCAUACGUCCUACGGGAGAAAGCAGGGGACCUUCGGGCCUUGCGCUAUCAGAUGAGCCUAGGUCGGAUUAGCUAGUUGGUGAGGUAAUGGCUCACCAAGGCGACGAUCCGUAACUGGUCUGAGAGGAUGAUCAGUCACACUGGAACUGAGACACGGUCCAGACUCCUACGGGAGGCAGCAGUGGGGAAUAUUGGACAAUGGGCGAAAGCCUGAUCCAGCCAUGCCGCGUGUGUGAAGAAGGUCUUCGGAUUGUAAAGCACUUUAAGUUGGGAGGAAGGGCAUUAACCUAAUACGUUAGUGUUUUGACGUUACCGACAGAAUAAGCACCGGCUAACUUCGUGCCAGCACCGCCGGUUAAUACAAAGGGUGCAAGGCGUUAAUCGGAAUUACUGGGCGUAAAACCGCGCGUACGCGGUUCGUUAAGUUUGGAUGUGAAAGCCCCGGGCUCAACCUGGGGAACUGCCUCCAAACCAGGCUAGCUAGAGUACGGU
This 611-nucleotide ribosomal RNA is filed under the name Pseudomonas sp. OC-D5-14. RNAcentral's name for it is "bacterial SSU rRNA". It matches the Rfam family "Bacterial small subunit ribosomal RNA", at positions 51 to 652 of the family's 1533-position model. The record is from RNAcentral. Lineage: Bacteria; Pseudomonadati; Pseudomonadota; Gammaproteobacteria; Pseudomonadales; Pseudomonadaceae.